RNAcentral lists this ribosomal RNA (331 nucleotides) under Mytilus galloprovincialis (Mediterranean mussel). RNAcentral's name for it is "partial 16S ribosomal RNA". It matches the Rfam family "Bacterial large subunit ribosomal RNA", at positions 1989 to 2566 of the family's 2925-position model. The record is from RNAcentral. Lineage: Eukaryota; Metazoa; Mollusca; Bivalvia; Mytilida; Mytilidae.
GGUAUGAAAGGGUUAACGAAGAAGGUGCUGUGUCUAAAAAUUCAAUUUAAACUAACUUUAAGGUGAAGAGGCCUUUAUGUAGAAGAAGGACGACAAGACCCUAUGAAGCUUUAUCUUAAUUGGAGCUCUCAGGCUCUUAUACGAUUUUGAUGGGAGAUCAGUAGAAAUAAGUCUUCUACUAUCAUAUUAAUCUUACUAGUAUUUCCUAACUUUAUAUGUGUGGCUAGCUACUCUAGGGAUAACAGCGCAAUUUCUCCCGAAAGAUGGUAUUGGAGGGGAAGAUUGCGACCUCGAUGUUGGCUUUAGAUAUCCUAGAGGCGUAGAAGCUUCU